UGGGGUGUAGCUCAGUGGUAGAGCACUUGCUUAGCACAUGUGAGGCACUGGGUUCAACCCUCAGCACCACAU
RNAcentral lists this transfer RNA (72 nucleotides) under Ictidomys tridecemlineatus (thirteen-lined ground squirrel). Its description in RNAcentral is "Spermophilus tridecemlineatus (thirteen-lined ground squirrel) tRNA". It matches the Rfam family "tRNA". Rfam says of the family: Transfer RNA (tRNA) molecules are approximately 80 nucleotides in length. Their secondary structure includes four short double-helical elements and three loops (D, anti-codon, and T loops). Lineage: Eukaryota; Metazoa; Chordata; Mammalia; Rodentia; Sciuridae. The record is from Rfam by way of RNAcentral.